Molecule: long non-coding RNA, 4127 nt
Organism: Trifolium pratense (red clover)
Lineage: Eukaryota; Viridiplantae; Streptophyta; Magnoliopsida; Fabales; Fabaceae
Exons: 8
Source: RefSeq, a predicted model, not a curated record
AAAAUGUUGACACCUCUAGGUUUGCAUCCCUAAUUCCCUUCUCCCUUGGUAACCCUAAUUGCUAUCAAAUGGCCACAUGUUGAGAAGUGAGAACUAGAAACUUACACAUGGAUAGCUACAUGGAACACAUGCAUUGGGCCCAAUAAAAUAUAUAUUUAUUUUUUCCCAAAUUUUUUUCAUUUGUCAAGUGUUUUUCUCUCUCUUCUCUCUUUUCUCUCUCUCUCGUACUCUCUCUUUUCUCACCAUCCUCACUAACACUCUCAUCUCUCUUUAACCUCAACCAUUCCCAAUCUCUUUCUCUCUGCCCUCUCCCAUCUAAUCCUAACCUCCACCACCAUCUACAAAUCAAUCACUCGUGAGAGUGAUUUUUUGCCGAGUGAAAGAAGAUUUGCCGGCGGGAGAGAAGUUCCGGCGAGGAGGAGGAGUUCCGGCCGAGAGAAUUCUUGUGGCGGUGACACGGCGGUGCUUGGCGACGGCGGCGACGAUUUCUCAUUCUUUCCUCUGGCUCCAUGGAAGGAUAAGGCUCCUCCAGAACUCCAUCUUCCUCCAAGCUAGCCAAAUCUGGUGGUGGCAAGCAGAAGAAGGUUCGUUUUUCUCUUCAAAGUGUUUGUUUAAAAAAAAAAAUUGCAGCUUUUGUUUCAUCGUAUGUGUAAUUAAUAGUGAAUUUCAGAGCUUAGAUUCAUUUUUUGCAGACCCAAACAAAUAUCAAACUGUAAGAUCCCACAUAAUUUGAUUUGACUAUUUAUAUGGUUAAAUUUAUCAAGCCACACUUUAAUUAAUAGUAAAUUUCAGAAGCUUAUCAUUGAAGGUUCUCAGGCCACAGCAAAGCAGACAGCAGAGUUGCUUCGGUCUGUGAUUUCACAGCAAAGGGUGCCUCAAACAAACCAGGCUACAGCUCUGAUUAAUGCAGUAAGGGCUGUGGGGGAGAAGCUUAUCACUGCUAACCCUGUUGGUAUGCUGAGAUGAAGUGUUUGCUCUUUUUAAAUUACAAUUAAGCAUUAUGUUUGUUGUCUUUAUGGAAGUCAAGUAUGUAUUUUUGGGAUUAUUGCUGCAUGAUUUCCUAAGUUUGAAUUAAUUAAUAGCUUGUAUGGUUCUUUACUUAUGAUAAAGUUUUUACGGGCUUGUAAGUGUUUAUUGAACAGUUAAAUGAUAGGGGGCCUUUUAUCAGAAAUGUAUAUGUGAAAGGAGGGGUGAGAGUAAGGGGAAACUAAUUGAUUGUAAGCUGUAACUACCAUAUUUUGUAAUAGAAUUUACUAAAUAGACAGAAGGGAGGGGGUUAGAGUUAGUUUUAGAUAAGAUAGUCAGAACAAGUAGAGAUGAUGCACUCUCAAAUGGGCCCUAAAAAAUGUACUCAUUCAUUGCUCAUGAUCACAUUGUUCUGAGGGAUUAACAAUAAGUUCCUGUUUUUUUUUUUCUUCCAAUUAUUUUCCAUAGAUACCAGUUGAUUCUAUCAUUGAAUAAGAGAAUUUUUGAAAAAGUAAGAUGUCAAAUGUAGUUUUAAAUUAUACAAGUAGCUCUGUUUAAAAUACUCAUGGUUAUUACAAGAUUUUUUUAAUACUUUUUGUUCAUAAAUUUUUACGGGAAGUUUAUCCAAACAUAAAUUCUCUUGCUUUGUUUUUGAAUAUUGAGGUUAAUCCACGGCCUGAUGAGAAUAGUGAGGGAGGCAUAAUUGUUGAAAUUAAGGUAAAAGAGUUGGAUCAGAAGACAGCUGAAGUCAAUACUAAAUGGAGUAUUGUUCCUGGACGAGGAGGGUAUCCCACCCUGGCCUCACUUCAACCUGGCAGAACUAUUGUUUUUGAGCAUCGGAAUCUUCAAGGACUGAAUAGAGCUUGAAAAAAGAUGGUGCAGCUGAUUUUAUGAUAAUUGAAUGAGUGAAAGCUUGUAGGUUUCAAGAGAUAAAGGGUGGAGUUUGAUCUAGCUUGAAGGUUUUGAUCAUCUCUUAUAAGAGAUUGAUCAUGCUCAAGGUUCAUGUGUGCACAAUGUUCUUGACAAGAUUCACACUUAUCGGAUGGAAUAUGAUCUUACAAUGUAAGUAUAAUCUCUAUAUACAUCUUUCUCUAUAUAUAAAAGAUUGAUUUCUUUGUAGUUUUGCAUAUCCUCAUCCAUUUUCUGUCAUAUGCUACCACAAUGGUCUCAAGGAAGAUUGACAUGUUUUGUAUGAUUACUAUCUCUAUCAUUUUGUUUUUCAUGUGUUAUUUUUGGACAAUAAUAAAUCUUUGUUAAGAUUUAAGACAAUAAUAAAUCUUAUUUUAUUAUUUUUGGACUUAAUUUGUCAACAAAAUUAAUUCGGAUUGUAUACGAUUUCCAUAUGUUUGAAUGUUUUUCUCCUCUGUCAAUUUUAGUGACAUUUCUUUUGAAGAGCUGUUUUCUACCUUACCCCUUCAAUUGUUUGUAGCUUUUAAAUAUGGUUAGUAUAUCCUGCUUCUGCAUAAUUGCUAAAGUUGCAUCUUUUAUCCAAACUUUGUAUCAUUAUUUUUACUUGCUUUAAAAUGGUAUGAGAUUUCUGUUAGCUUUUCCAACCUAUGUUUCCUUGACCCCUUUGUUUUUCUAAUUAUAUGAUCAACUGGAGUUACUUCUUAUUCAUGAACUUUUUAUCUAUGUGGACAAUUUUAUGCUGGAUAAUUGGAGUGUGGCAUGGACAAGGAAGGUGGAGAUAAAUAAUGCUCGCUAGAUUGAUGAAAUAUUUGAUGCAAUAAGUUAUAGAAAAGGUGCAUCUGUUAUUAGGAUGCUGCAAAGCUAUCUUGGUGCUCAAUGCUUUCAGCUCUUGAAAAGCUAUUGAAAGAACACACUGGGAGGUUUGCCACUGGAGAUGAAGUUUUCAUGGCAGAUAUAUUUUUAGCACCUCAGAUACACUCUGCAUUUAAGAAAUUCAACAUUGACAUGGUAGUAUUCUAUGGUCUCCUGUAUAUUUUAUGUGGGGGAAUAAGGUGUUGUAAUGAAACAUGUGGCUUGUAUUGCUGCGGUGCCAUCACCGCAGCUGCUUUGAUCAUGGAUGUAUUGUUGUGUUUUGUCCACACUUCAAACAAAUAUAGGCUGUUGCCUAAAGGCCUUUGGCCAUUGCCUAUUUGCUUGAGCUAUUAGUUGAUUUAGAUUGAAUAAUUGCGUCAACAUUUCUUCGUGUUAUUCAAAUCAAGCAGCUAAUAAUAUGAAUGUGUAAGAUGAUUAAUCUUAGUCUUUGUUCAUAUAUGUUUGAUUACAAAAUUUUGGGAAACUGCAUGACUUUCUUGCCUGUACCACUUGAUGGCUGUUGGUGAAGUACAUGCAAUCAAGGUCAUUCAACCAGAAAGAGGAUGCAUUAAUAACAGGGUGUUCAAUAUGGAUAUAUGAAUUAGAAGUGUUUAUGAACUUAUGAUUGUACAACGAUUACCGAUAUAUUGCCAUUGUAGAAAAACAUUUAUACUGAUAGUAUAUAUGAAUUAAGUUUGGUUUUUGUGUUGAUUUGAUUACACUACUCACUGUUCAAAGAGAUUAGUAAUCAUGUUAUUGCUUGUGAACAAGCAUGUUAUUGAUUACACUACUCACUCUUACCAUCUCACUCACUAUUUGGAGCAAGUUUGUUCACAACAUAGUACCAUUAUUUGAGAAACUUUGGUUUUCACAUUUGAAUCAUGUUGCUGCAUAUUAUAUCCUCUUCACUAUUUUGAUUAUUUUCAUUUACAUUUGUUGUAUUUUUCAGUGUAUGUGCAGUGAGUGCAAUCAGAUAAAUACCCUAUAUGCCGCCAAGCUAUCGAGGAGCUUAUAGAGAUCAAGAUAAACAAUGGCGACGACCAAUGACAUCUUUUGCCCUGAAGCCAAGCUGAAUUAAGUGGAUAGUUUUGUUUUUUUAUGUUUUAUUCACUUUAUGUAAAUUGCGGCCAAUAAUAUGUUUAUAGCUCAUAUGUAUUGUUAUUAUAAUCAAUAGAAAAAUAGAUUAUAUGUCGUUAUCCUGUUGCUGAAUGUUACUCCUGCUCAUUUAAAUUGUAUAGGUGAUUGUUUUGUUUUGGUCUGUGUGUGAUAUUUAAGAGAGGAUCAUUAUUCAUUUGUAUUGUGUAGAUCUGAUUUGAUCACUGGAUGACUUCUUUGUAAUGUAUCUUGAAGGUGAAGGUUCCUCUACUGUAUUAUGUUUGAAAGUUAUCAUAGGGAUCUUU